AUCAAUUAUUAUGUCGGUUAAGAAAAGAAAUAAAGCAUAGCAUGGCCACCAUUAAAUUGGUUCUCACAAAUUUUUCAGGAUAUUUGAAGGUGAUCCAUGUGAGAUCACUACACUUUGUGAGGCUGAAUAUCGUCAGCAUAUUCUUCAGCAAACUCUAGAGCAAGUGCAGUUAAGAAAGGUAAGAUAAUAAUAUACUCAUAAGUUUAGGGUGUUAAUGGUAUGCAUUAACAAAGCUUAAAUGAAAAUACACUUCACAGUCUUGUUUUGAACAGAGUGUCUUAGAAGAAGAGUUUAAUUUUGGUGUAUCUGAUCAACAGGUAUGUAAAGGUUAAGUUUUUCUCACCUCCAUGAAUUUGUUUACAUAUAUAUUUCCCAUUUUCAAAUAUAUAUUGGAUUGGCACAUCUAUUUAAAAAAAAAAUACAACAAAAUAUAGAAUUUGAUGAGAAUAGAACUUUUGCAUAGGAUUCCAGAUUAAGAUUAUUAUUUUUAUAUCAGGUGAAUCUUGCAAACACGGUAGAUGUAGAUGGAUUAUUUGUUGGCGAGACAUCAAAUAAUCCAGUAGAGUGGCUCCCACAGGAAGAUCCAAAUGUUAAUAUUCUCAACUUUGUUGAUGCCUAUGCUCCUGCUCUUCUUUGGGGUCAACAAUCACAUAGUGCUGUUGUUGACAUGUUAGGCACAAGUUCUACCCUUGUGCCUUCUACAAACACCCUUCAACUUCAAAUGAAUCCAGAUAAUAAUAGUUUAGAAGUCUGCACACUAUCUCCUGACUUUGGACAAGUUAUAGAUAUCAAUGGUUCCUCUUGGGAGCAACUCCAUGAUUUAGGGAAUGGAUCUUUGUCAAUAGCAGAGGCAAGGGAGCAAGAACAACUAAUUGAACAAUAUCUGUCUCAAUUUCCUUCUUCAGAUAUCUUAAUAUCCGAUCAACAUCAUCAAAUAUGAUGAAUGCCAUCUUAGUUUAAUUUGCUUCUAGAAAAUAAAACAUCUUAGAGUUACUUCUUUUUUUUUUUCUGGAUGAGACAAAUUAGUUUUUGAUUUGCUAGUCUGCUAUACAUACAAGUUAGUUUCUUUCAUAUCUGAUGUCAGUUUCUAACUUUC
Non-coding RNA from Arachis ipaensis, 1096 nucleotides. The record is from RefSeq and is a predicted model, not a curated record. NCBI's taxonomy places the organism in Eukaryota, Viridiplantae, Streptophyta, Magnoliopsida, Fabales, Fabaceae.